CACUAGACUAAAUCCUGGACCUUCAAGACCCAUGCCCCUAGAACCUUGGAGGGGUAAAUCGCAGGUUAUGCCUCAACUGGAUCACAAGUUUCCCCCAUUGACUGUACACUUCUGCGCAUAAGAGACCCUCCUCCACAGUGAUUGCUCCAUACCAAUUUUUUGGCCGCAGGUUCUCACCAGGAAUCGAACUCUCCACCCUGCCGCGGGAAGCAAGCCAAAAUUGAUUGAUCCACCAAUUGAGACGUGCCCCGGGGGGCUGUAAUCGCAUAUUUUUAACCAUAGAUUAGGUGUUCCAAAAGGGUUAGGAAUGAUUGGACAAAAAAUGGGAGCAAACAGUUUCUAUAAUGGCUUCGCUGAACAAAAGUAGAAUAACUUGAAGAAAAAAGAAAAG
RNAcentral lists this long non-coding RNA (391 nucleotides) under Olea europaea subsp. europaea. The record is from RNAcentral. Lineage: Eukaryota; Viridiplantae; Streptophyta; Magnoliopsida; Lamiales; Oleaceae.